The sequence is a ribosomal RNA, 217 nucleotides long. It matches the Rfam family "Bacterial small subunit ribosomal RNA", at positions 1 to 210 of the family's 1533-position model.
UUUAUGGAGAGUUCGAUCCUGGCUCAGGAUGAACGCUGGCGGCGUGCCUAAUACAUGCAAGUCGAGCGAACAGACGAGAAGCUUGAUUCUCUGAUGUUAGCGGCGGACGGGUGAGUAACACGUGGAUAACCUACCUAAUAAGACUGGGAUAACUUCGGGAAACCGGAGCUAAUACCGGAUAAUAUUUUGAACCGCAUGGUUCAAAAGUGAAAGACGG